GGCCCUACAGCCCCCUGCUUCCUGCAGCUCCCAUUGGCCAGGAACAGCAAACCACAGCUGUGGGGGGCCAUGCCUGUGGAUGGUCAACAUCAGCAAACUGUCUUGCAGCCUGCAAUCAAUUACCCUGAUUAGCUACAUGCAGGCCACAGGUUGCCCACCACUGCUCUAACCAAUCAUACAGGGGCUAAGAAGAAUAUUCACUACCUCUCUCUUCAGAUCAAAGCCUUUUUAUAUAUUCACAGACCCUACUGCUUCCUUCUCUGGAACUCCAUACACUGGGAGCUUAGUUAUCCAUUCUGAAAAGAGUUCCAGGUACUCAUGCAUGCAAAACAGAAAUAUUACAAAUUUAACAAACCAACUCAGCUCAUUGGUUCCUGAAUUUUAUUGGUGGAGUGUCAGGAGAAAAAGAAUGGAUGCUGAUGAUAUCUGCAUGUGCCUUUUGGAAUCCCUAAACUUUACUGGCAAGCAAACCAGCUCCAUUACACAUCUGUACAGAACUAUUUAAAUAUACCAUCACCAAUCCUAAAUCUGUGACAUGUAGCAGCAUUCUUACCAUGUUCCCCAGAGUGAUCUGCAUCAGAGGAAAUGUGCAUGUAAUGCCAUCAUUUUUAUAUAAACUAAAGGCACUUGUUAAAUACAACCUUUCCAAAGUCCCUAAUCCUAGAUUGCAAAGCACUGUGCAGUUUCAGGAAAACUGUAAGGACUACAACACCUCUUCAUUCACUCUGCACUAGAAACAGGUUUAAAUAUAAUAAAUAAUUUGUUUUUCACUGCUUUCAUA
This is a long non-coding RNA of Chelonia mydas (Green sea turtle), 781 nucleotides long. RefSeq lists it as uncharacterized. Lineage: Eukaryota; Metazoa; Chordata; Testudines; Cheloniidae. The record is from RefSeq and is a predicted model, not a curated record. The transcript is spliced from 2 exons.